This 262-nucleotide signal recognition particle RNA is filed under the name Candidatus Woesearchaeota archaeon. Its description in RNAcentral is "signal recognition particle sRNA large type". It matches the Rfam family "Bacterial large signal recognition particle RNA". From Rfam's summary of the family: The signal recognition particle (SRP) is a universally conserved ribonucleoprotein involved in the co-translational targeting of proteins to membranes. Lineage: Archaea; Nanobdellati; Candidatus Woesearchaeota. The record is from RNAcentral.
UAGGCUCGAUUGGGGAGAAUAGUCAUCUUCUUGUAACUUCUGACUAUAUGGAAGGAUUUAAACCUAUUUGAGGAGAAACAUUGUCUGUUAAGCUUUGCUUUGGACGUUGAUGUUCUGUCCUAUUUGAUCGUUAUGAUUGUGAAUUUGGUCAGAUCGGGAACGAAGCAGCCAUAAGCUAUUAUAUUGAUGCUUAUAGGGUCGCGGAACGGAGAAAGGAGUAAGGGCACUUGCAGGUUUUGUUUUUUCGAAGAUAGGGUGCUUA